GAUCCUUGCUCAUAAUGAACGCUGGCGGCAUGCCUAACACAUGCAAGUCGAACGAAGGCUUCGGCCUUAGUGGCGCACGGGUGCGUAACGCGUGGGAAUCUGCCCUCAGGUUCGGAAUAACAGCGAGAAAUUGCUGCUAAUACCGGAUGAUAUCGCGAGAUCAAAGAUUUAUCGCCUGAGGAUGAGCCCGCGUAGGAUUAGCUAGUUGGUGUGGUAAAGGCGCACCAAGGCGACGAUCCUUAGCUGGUCUGAGAGGAUGAUCAGCCACACUGGGACUGAGACACGGCCCAGACUCCUACGGGAGGCAGCAGUGGGGAAUAUUGGACAAUGGGCGAAAGCCUGAUCCAGCAAUGCCGCGUGAGUGAUGAAGGCCUUAGGGUUGUAAAGCUCUUUUACCCGGGAUGAUAAUGACAGUACCGGGAGAAUAAGCUCCGGCU
Molecule: ribosomal RNA, 437 nt
Filed under: bacterium PML42
Lineage: Bacteria
Description: bacterial SSU rRNA
Rfam family: Bacterial small subunit ribosomal RNA
Source: RNAcentral